Molecule: ribosomal RNA, 181 nt
Filed under: uncultured bacterium
Lineage: Bacteria
Description: partial 16S ribosomal RNA
Rfam family: Bacterial small subunit ribosomal RNA
Source: RNAcentral
CAUGAAGCUGGAAUUGCAGUAAUGGCAGGUCAGCAUACUGCCGUGAAUACGUUCCCGGGCCUUGUACACACCGCCCGUCACACCAUGAGAGUUGGAAAUACCCGAAGCCUGUGAGCUAACAGUAAUGAGGCAGCAGUCGAAGGUAGAGCCAAUGAUUGGGGUGAAGUCGUAACAAGGUAAC